RNAcentral lists this ribosomal RNA (322 nucleotides) under Rhogostoma sp. RNAcentral describes it as "SSU rRNA". The stretch from base 105 to 322 matches the Rfam family "Eukaryotic small subunit ribosomal RNA", at positions 736 to 955 of the family's 1831-position model. The record is from RNAcentral. Lineage: Eukaryota; Cercozoa; Thecofilosea; Cryomonadida; Rhogostomidae.
GAUUUCUGGUUUAAUGCACCUGGCCCGCGGCCACUAGGCUUGUGAGUGCCGGCGCGCGUUUACCAUCCUUCUAGAAAACGAUUCUGCCAUUAACUUGGUUGGGAUCGCGAUCUAGAUCUUUUACUUUGAAAAAAUUAGAGUGUUUAAAGCAAGCUUUUGCUGUGAAUACAUUAGCAUGGAAUAAUAAUUUAGGACUUCGGUUCUAUUUUGUUGGUUUCUAGAACUGAAGUAAUGAUUGAUAGGGACAGUUGGGGGUGCUGCUAUUCAUCGGCCAGAGGUGAAAUUCUUGGAUUCUGUGAAGAGCAACUCAUGCGAAAGCAUU